UGAUGGCUCUUGAAAGACUGACUCACUGUGAGCAUUACACUGGCCAGCUUAGCUGAGAGGCCAGAUUUCAAUGAUCAUUCACUGCAGCUUCCAACUUCCUCUCACACUGCGGAAGAGGGGAGUGAAACACCAGGCAAGAGAUCCAGAGGAGAUGUCAGAUUUCUGGCUGAUCUUGAAUGCAGAUUGAAAGUUCUGAAUCAGGAAAUCCAGCACAGUACAUCUUGAAGGACAAAGUGGGAAGGCACUGUCUCCUUGGCACAUGCUGUUUGACUUUGCU
Long non-coding RNA from Vidua chalybeata, 277 nucleotides. RefSeq lists it as uncharacterized. The transcript has 3 exons. The record is from RefSeq and is a predicted model, not a curated record. NCBI's taxonomy places the organism in Eukaryota, Metazoa, Chordata, Aves, Passeriformes, Viduidae.